This 471-nucleotide long non-coding RNA is filed under the name Eucalyptus grandis. RNAcentral's name for it is "long non-coding RNA (EGRA_LNC001569)". Lineage: Eukaryota; Viridiplantae; Streptophyta; Magnoliopsida; Myrtales; Myrtaceae. The record is from RNAcentral.
AGAGACAAAUUCCACCGCUUCGGCCAAAAAUCAAAACAACCCGCAAUCUUUGAAGAUGUGCUCGUACGAUGAAUUCAUGGCUGGGGACUUCUAGCUGCAACCAGGAAAGAACUCAAAUGUGGUGGGUUAACUUUCUUGCCGUAAGUGUUGCGAUGGUGCGGCGAGCAACUCGUCGUUGAGUGGCGCCAGCAAUAUGGAGUCACAAGAGCAAGACAGCAACCUCCCUGGCAUGGCUUCGUGAGCUGGUUGACGGCGAUGAAAGCUCGAGGAAAGGAUGGCAACGGCUCAUCGGGUUUGCCGAAGGACAAAUAUUGCUCGGAGAUUCAAUGGGAUUGUCGGGACGGUGACUGAAUUCGGUCAAGAAAGACCUGCACUAAUAAAAAUUCAAACGAAAGCAAAAUAACUGGAUCGGUGGAAGUCUCGGGCACGUCAAGGACUGCUGUGUUCACCGAAAAACCUGCGAAAAUUCAA